GGGGGAUAUUGCGCAAUGGGGGAAACCCUGACGCAGCAACGCCGCGUGAAGGAAGAAGGUCUUCGGAUUGUAAACUUCUUUUGUCAGGGACGAAGAAAGUGACGGUACCUGACGAAUAAGCUCCGGCUAACUACGUGCCAGCAGCCGCGGUAAUACGUAGGGAGCGAGCGUUGUCCGGAUUUACUGGGUGUAAAGGGUGCGUAGGCGGCCGAGCAAGUCAGUUGUGAAAACUAUGGGCUUAACCCAUAACGUGCAAUUGAAACUGUCCGGCUUGAGUGAAGUAGAGGUAGGCGGAAUUCCCGGUGUAGCGGUGAAAUGCGUAGAGAUCGGGAGGAACACCAGUGGCGAAGGCGGCCUACUGGGCUUUAACUGACGCUGAGGCACGAAAGCAUGGGUAGCAAACAGGAUUAGAUAUCCUGGUAGUCCAUGCCGUAAACGAUGAUUACUAGGUGUGGGGGGACUGACCCCUUCCGUGCCGCAGUUAACACAAUAAGUAAUCCACCUGGGGAGUACGGCCGCAAGGUUGAAACUCAAAGGAAUUGACGGGGGCCCGCACAAGCAGUGGAGUAUGUGGUUUAAUUCGAAGCAACGCGAAGAACCUUACCAGGUCUUGACAUCCUGAGAAUCCUUAAGAGAUUAGGGAGUGCCUUCGGGAACUCAGAGACAGGUGGUGCAUGGUUGUCGUCAGCUCGUGUCGUGAGAUGUUGGGUUAAGUCCCGCAACGAGCGCAACCCUUGCUAUUAGUUGCUACGCAAGAGCACUCUAAUAGGACUGCCGUUGACAAAACGGAGGAAGGUGGGGACGACGUCAAAUCAUCAUGCCCCUUAUGACCUGGGCUACACACGUACUACAAUGGCGCAUACAAAGGGAAGCGAAGUCGUGAGGCGGAGCCAAUCUCAAAAAAUGCGUCCCAGUUCGGAUUGGAGUCUGCAACUCGACUCCAUGAAGUCGGAAUCGCUAGUAAUUCCGGAUCAGCAUGCCGGGGUGAAUGCGUUCCCG
RNAcentral lists this ribosomal RNA (999 nucleotides) under uncultured bacterium. RNAcentral's name for it is "bacterial SSU rRNA". It matches the Rfam family "Bacterial small subunit ribosomal RNA", at positions 356 to 1376 of the family's 1533-position model. The record is from RNAcentral.